Molecule: long non-coding RNA, 1965 nt
Organism: Gallus gallus (chicken)
Lineage: Eukaryota; Metazoa; Chordata; Aves; Galliformes; Phasianidae
Exons: 3
Source: RefSeq, a predicted model, not a curated record
UGGAAGAACACCUGUUGCCACCUUGGAUGAUUAGAGACUGCCAGGCACUUCCUGAAAGACUUCUCUGAUAUCCAACUUUUAAUUGCUUUGAACUUUUUAGCCUUGUUCCUAUCCCUCCUUUUUCAGUUGACUGGCCACACAAGUUUGUUGCCCUGUUCUGGAUCUCUCCAUUAUGUAGUCAUUCAUAUUUCUUCCAACCUGAAUAAUCACAAUCUAGUUAAAUUUUGCUUCAUGCAGAACUUCUUUAUUUCUGUCCAAUGCCACUGUGAGACACCUUGCUACAGGAUUAUGCAGAUGCUGUAAAUUUACACAGGUGCAAAAAGGAUUGAGCAAAGUGAGAAAAAAUAUGUCCAGUGCUACUAGUUACAAAUACAUGACACCAGGAAGUCCCUGAGCUACAAAUAACAGUGACCCAUUGCUAAACCUGGCCUAGACUCUGCAUCUUGACAUAUUUUUACAAUACUUUAGUUUUACAGCCCUCAGUAGUUUUGUACCAUCAAGGAAUGUUUAUAAACUACUUUUCAUCCUCUUCACCAGAUGAUGCAUGUAUACAUUGCUUGCUAGUCCAGUUUUAUGCUGGACCAAUUGAAAAAUUUGAUCUUCUAGGAAAGUAAGUUUUCCUCUUUCUUCUGGAUGUUUUCAGUAUACAAGAGCAUCACACAAUAAAUUCAUUGUUCUAUGGCCUAAUUGACAUAAUUGACAUUUUUUUUGAUUGACAUAAUUUUUAUGAUUGACAUAAUUCAAAAUACUGCAAAUAUACACAUAUAUACAUAUUUUUUCUUUCAUAUACAAAUAUGAAAGAUGUGUGCUGAAAUACUUACCUUCCAUGUCUUUGCCACCAAGGCUGGAUAAGAUGACACAGAAAACAGAUUUAUCAUUUCAGAUUUUUUUUUUUCAUGUGAGUUUUUAUAAGUCAGAUGGGCAACAAAUACCUCCCACAGAGAUGAUCUGGCACUAUUUCAGCAUCUCUGCACUCUCUGCAAUGAGAUCACAGCAAUGGAGCUGCAGGAGAGCCAGGCAAGUUCCCCAGGCAACCACAGAACCUACACUCACCAUUAACUCAGGCAUGACAAACACUAUUGACAUCCCGCAGGCUCCCAGCAAUGUCCUGGAAGAGGGAAGAACAAGACCCCUCUUUUUUUGGACUGCUGCUCUACAGAGCCCAGGAGGAAUGCCUCAGAGGGCCGUCAUAGGCCUGAGAUGGAGAAUGUCUCAGUCCAAGGAUAAGAAGGCAACCAAAUGGGUGCUUAAAGAUGAACCAGAUCCUCUGUGGAGGUGCAUAAAGCAUAACAGGAGAUCAGUCAAAGAAGCAACAGGAACAUCUGCUCCUCUGAAGAAGCAACAGACUUCAGUCCUGCCAGAAAGAAGUACUGGAGUUUAGCAUUAAGGUCCUUUUGAGAUGUUUCAUGAGUUUCUCCCAAGACUGGGCGACAAUAGUACAACAACAAUCAGUGGCAUAUAGCUGACACUAUUCUAUUGAAAAUCAUAGAUGAAGGACAACAUUUACUACAGUUCCCAAUGGAAGAAGAAACGGUGCUGCUUCUGAAACAUCCAUCUUAUAAAACAGCCCCCAAAGCUGCUGGUUUUGGUUUUUUUCCUCCUUACUGAAGGACUCACACAAUGUAGCUUUUUUUUCAAAAGGUUAAGUUUAUUUUUUUCUCUAUGCCAUUUAAAGCUAAAGAGUCAGGACCCAAAUGGUAUGUAAAUGUCCUAAGUGAGAUGCAGAAUUGUAGUAUGCUUAAAUUUAAAAAUAUAAUCCCAAAAUAACUUGCUCAUGAAUCACCUAGCUCUGUAAUCAUACAUAUUUUGCAGAAAACUUGUCUCACUUUAACAGUCCCCAGGCACCUGGAACUAUGUCUCUGCAGUAGCCUAAGCCCAGCUGUCUGGAAUAAGCAAGCACUAUUUCCUCCCCAGAGAGUUCAUAACAAACAGAUUAAUCCACAAGAAAUACUCAAUAAAAGAUCA